AGUCAAUCUUUCAAGUUUGAGGAAACGUUUUCAGCUGCUUUGUUGGUAGAAACCUCCAUGCUCCACUGAGCCAACACUUUCAUCCGUCCACGUCAAAGCCCCUCCACGGUGGACCCCCCCCUCCUGCAGUCCAUCACUGCCCGCGCACUUCCUUAUCUACUGCCUUCAGCCAACACGCCAUUAUUCAGGCCGGCUCAGACAGCCAGCCUGAAAGCGGCGAAAACAGAUCGAUUUGGUGCGGUGGAGUGGUAGAGGUCAAGAGGAGCCCUCACUUGGCUCGCUGUGCUGGACCGAAUGACCGGUUCCACCAAACCAAAGGGAGGAAUGAUGCUCUGCUGAGGUUAACCGACCAAUUGGUCCUACAGAUGAGUUAAAGUUACAACAUCUUCACAAAACAGAAGAACAGAAGUUAUCUGAUGUGAGCGUAACUGGAGGGAAAUUCAGUUGUAGCAGCAGCAGAAUAAAAUAAAUACAAAAUAUACAGGGUAUUCAGAUGUCAUUAAUCAACCCACCCCAACCCCCGGUGUUAGUCCUGUCACUCACUCUCAUCAAUGUGCAAAACUACAAAGACAAAAUUGAGACCUGAGGCUGUCAAGAAGCAGGACGGUCACCAUUAACAAACUGGGAGAGACUCCAGUUGCCAAGGAAACAUAACCUGUUUCUCACUGUCACUAUGGUUACCUUCAUCCCAAAAAAGUUGUGUUGUUUGAGGUUUCUCUUUAGUCCAAAUUGUGGACCUUCCAGUAUAAAUACAGGUGGAAAAUGUUUAAACCAACUCCCCAUCCAGUGCUAACCAGCCGCUCAACCAGCGACAGAAGUGGACUCUCUGCGCUCCAGCGACCGGCCAACGCAGCUUCCGUUUAGGAGACGCAAACAGAGGUUCAUUCAUGAAGCAGGUGCACGUUCCCGCGCACACAGCCAGGUCUGGAUUAAGCCCCGAUCACAUCCUAAAUCCGCCCCACGCUGCUGAAACGUGCAGGAUCACCUGAUCUGUGGCGUGCAACACAAAUGGGAGAAAAAAAGCAACAAACGGGGAGACAAGUGUUUCUCCUUACGGCGGGACACUAAACGACUCUCUUUCAGGUUUUUUCUCCUUCACAGGGAUAAGGAUCUUAACCAUCCGAGGAGUCAUGCUGCCACCUGCUGGUGGGAUCCAGAACUCCACAGAGGUUCUCCUUCAGCGCCUGAAAGGAGCCGUGGGGGUGUGAGGAGGAAAGCAGCGAUGACGGGGCUGGAGCGCUCAGAGGAAAUGAAACCAGCAUCCCUGCAGAUCCUGAAGGCUAAGUCCUUUCACUUCCUCACUGGAUCCCUCUUUUCAUCCGACCUUUCCACAGCUGGACCCUCUCCUGAUCCCCCGGAGACCCAAAGUGAGAUGGAAUAUUGAGAAAAGCUGCUAGAAGGGACCCUCCCCCAAAUCAGGACACAUGAAGAGGAGCAGCCCUGACGACCCUCCACAUAAACAGUAAAGGGAACACGAAGGAGCCGUCCCGGCGACUCUCCUUGGGAAUGAGAUGGGGAACAUGAAGGAGCUGUCCCCGUGACCAAGCUCAGGAGCAGGACAUGAAGAGUAGCGAUCCCGGUGAACCUCCUCAGGAACAGACAUAUGAAGAGGAGGGGCCCCAGUGACCAUUCUCCAGAGGGGACAAGGGACAUGUGGGAGCAGCCCCAGUGAACCUCCUCAGGAACAGACACAUGAAGAGGAGCGGCCGCGUUAACUCUCCUCAAGAACAGACACAUGAAGAGGAGCGGCCCCAGUGAUCAUUCUCAGGAACGGGACAAGUAACGUGUAGGAGUGGUUCCGGUGACCCCACUCAGGAAUAGACACAUGAAGUGGAGCGGCCCUGACAACCCUUCUUGAGAACAGAAGAGGGAAUAUGAUGCUGCAUCCUAGUGACUGUCCUCAGGAGCGGGACAAGAGACAUGAAGAGAAGCGGCCCCAGUGAACCUCUUCAGGAACAGAUGCAUGAAGAGAAGCGGACCCAGUGAACCUCUUCAGGAACAGACGCAUGAAGAGGAGCGGCCCCAGAGAUCCUUCUAAUGGUACGCGGAAUAUGAAGGAGUUGGUCCCGUGACCCUUCUCAGGAACAGACCCAUAAAGAGGAGCCAGCCCAGCGAUCGUUCUUGGGAACCGACGCAUCAAGAGGAGCGGCCCCAGCAACCCUCCUCAGGAACAUACACAUGAAGAGGAGUGGACCCAGCAAUCCUUCUCUGGAACAGCAAAGAGAAAGUGAAGGGGCGGCACUGGCAACCCUCCUCAGGAACAGAUACUUUUAGAGGAGCGUCCCCAGUGACCCUCCUCAGGAACAUUCACAUGAAAAAGAUUGGCCCCGGUAACCUUCCACGGGAACAGAAGACUUGAAGCAUGUCUGAUAUCUUAAAAAAGUAACACUUAUUCAUUUUUUUGUAUUAGUGUCUGAACUCUUUUUAGUGCAUACUGUAUGUGUAAUUCCAAUUUUUGUCCCAAAUUGAUUGCAAUUAAGUUUACAAUUUUACUAAAGAGAUCUAAUUUUCUUUUAUUCCGUUUCAUUUUGAAACAUCUUCCUGUGAUUCUUAAUAAAUUCCAAAAAUCUUUUAUUCCUCGAGAGAAAAAACAAAAACAUGUUUUUCUAAUCUUAAUGUUUUUCUUCAUAGUUUUCUGAAAGUACUGUGGGCGUCAGCGGCGCCUCCUCCUCAGGAGAACCGUGGCGUCUGACGGCGGCAGACUUCUGUAAACAUUGGCGUGUCGAUGGCCCUGAGGGGGGGGCAAGAAAAUACCUGAGAAGGAAGAGCGACUAAUAAACUGCUGCUCUGACACA
This is a long non-coding RNA of Oryzias melastigma (Indian medaka), 2795 nucleotides long. RefSeq lists it as uncharacterized. The transcript has 6 exons. The record is from RefSeq and is a predicted model, not a curated record. NCBI's taxonomy places the organism in Eukaryota, Metazoa, Chordata, Actinopteri, Beloniformes, Adrianichthyidae.